This is a long non-coding RNA of Eucalyptus grandis, 708 nucleotides long. RefSeq lists it as uncharacterized. Lineage: Eukaryota; Viridiplantae; Streptophyta; Magnoliopsida; Myrtales; Myrtaceae. The record is from RefSeq and is a predicted model, not a curated record. The transcript is spliced from 2 exons.
GUCUUCGCCUUCGCCUUAUCCUACGUUAUUCUGAGCCUCCGUCGUCCUCCUCCCUGCUGCUAAAACCAAAACCCUUCACAAGAAUCCACCAACACGCCAUCACCUCAGAGCCCAUCAUUGGUCAUCCCUUUCGGAGAAAGCACGUUUGGCUUCUUGCGGUGCUGCUCCGGUACAGUCGAGAGGAGACGCUGGAAGAUCCACGGAUGGUGCUGGUGAGCAUUUUUCCAUUUCGAUGACAACGAAGGAAGUGGGCUGUUCUUCUCUCCUGUUCAUUUGCGAGUUUAGCGCCAGUAGAUUAUACCCGAACGGUGUCUAAGCUGCCAUUCUUGUCCUGCUGCGCAGAUAUGUUAGGACUGUGGUGUACCCUCUCUCCGACUGCCUUGUUUCCAGCGGUGGAAUCGUUCUCCGGAUCUCUGGUUUCGGACAAAAAUCUUCACGAGGGGGGAAGGACUAAACCGCGGCGCCCAUGUUUGAGAGUGCUUCUCAAUUGCGUAAGACACUUCUACGGAUUGCCAUCUUCAGGAGCUGGUCUCGUCUCCGGCGUACGGCUAGAACACGGGAGAAAGGAAACUUGAACAUUUGCCACUUCCCACACGUGCACCUGCCUCUCUCCAGGUGGAAAAGCUUGGUCAUAGCGACCUUUCCGCUUCCGAUCGUGCUGUAACUUACUUUGAUAAUACCCUGCUCUGGUCAAACGGUACGAGAUCA